GAUGAACGCUAGCGCGGGCCUAACACAUGCAAGUCGAGGGGUAACAGGAAGAGCUUGCUCUUUGCUGACGACCGGCGAACGGGUGCGUAACGCGUAUGCAAUCUACCUCUAACAGGGGGAUAGCCCAGAGAAAUCUGGAUUAAUACCCCAUAACAUUUCGGUAUCGCAUGGUACUGCAAUUAAAACUACGGUGGUUAGAGAUGAGCAUGCGUCCUAUUAGCUAGUUGGUAAGGUAACGGCUUACCAAGGCAACGAUAGGUAGGGGGCCUGAGAGGGUGAUCCCCACACUGGUACUGAGACACGGACCAGACUCCUACGGGAGGCAGCAGUGAGGAAUAUUGGUCAAUGGACGGAAGUCUGAACCAGCCACGCCGCGUGCAGGAUGACUGCCCUAUGGGUUGUAAACUGCUUUUGUAUGGGAAGAAACCUCGGGACGUGUCCCGGGCUGACGGUACCAUACGAAUAAGCACCGGCUAACUCCGUG
This 484-nucleotide ribosomal RNA is filed under the name uncultured bacterium. RNAcentral describes it as "bacterial SSU rRNA". It matches the Rfam family "Bacterial small subunit ribosomal RNA", at positions 28 to 507 of the family's 1533-position model. The record is from RNAcentral.